RNAcentral lists this long non-coding RNA (393 nucleotides) under Fukomys damarensis (Damara mole-rat). Its description in RNAcentral is "lncRNA (ENSFDAG00000032416.1)". Lineage: Eukaryota; Metazoa; Chordata; Mammalia; Rodentia; Bathyergidae. The record is from RNAcentral.
AUGACUUUGAAGCUUCAAAAUUGCUCACACAGCCCAAAACUUCAGAGGAAUCAGUGGGAGGUCGGCAGAAGAGCAGGGCUUGAGCUGUCUCCAAGUGCACAGUUUCUAAAAUGGUCAGAUCUGAAGUACUCACUUUACCUUCCCUUGCACCUCUCAGGACAGCACCAUUAACCAGUGGAAACAGAUGAGGAAAAGAGGGCAGAGAAUUCAUACAAGAAGCUGACACAAAAGGCAGAACUGUGGGGACAGAAGGCACAAGUGAAAUUCAACAAUAUACACCUUUAUAUAGAAACAUUUAUCUCCCUGAGAAGGGUUUGACUUUCUGCUAGUGGAAAUAAUUCUUUCUACUUUUUAUUUUGUUCUUUAAAAAAGUAGAUGAAUAAAAAAAGCAGC